Molecule: ribosomal RNA, 537 nt
Filed under: Saitozyma flava
Lineage: Eukaryota; Fungi; Basidiomycota; Tremellomycetes; Tremellales; Trimorphomycetaceae
Description: LSU rRNA
Rfam family: Eukaryotic large subunit ribosomal RNA
Source: RNAcentral
AAACUAACAAGGAUUCCCCUAGUAGCGGCGAGCGAAGCGGGAAGAGCUCAAAUUUGUAAUCUGGCGUCCUCCGGGCGUCCGAGUUGUAAUCUAUAGAGACGUUUUCCGUGCCGGACCGUGUCCAAGUCCCUUGGAACAGGGUAUCAAAGAGGGUGACAAUCCCGUACUUGACACGACGACCGGUGCUCUGUGAUACGUUUUCUACGAGUCGAGUUGUUUGGGAAUGCAGCUCAAAAUGGGUGGUAAAUUCCAUCUAAAGCUAAAUAUAGGCGAGAGACCGAUAGCGAACAAGUACCGUGAGGGAAAGAUGAAAAGCACUUUGGAAAGAGAGUUAAACAGUAUGUGAAAUUGUUGAAAGGGAAACGAUUGAAGUCAGUCAUGUCCAUUGGAUUCAGCUGGUUCUGCCAGUGUAUUUCCUUUGGACGGGUCAACAUCAGUUUGAGCCGGCGGAUAAUGGCAGAGGGAAUGUGGCACCCCCGGGUGUGUUAUAGCCCUUUGUCGCAUACGUCGGCCCAGACUGAGGAAUGCAGCUCGCCU